RNAcentral lists this ribosomal RNA (253 nucleotides) under uncultured bacterium. RNAcentral describes it as "partial 16S ribosomal RNA". It matches the Rfam family "Bacterial small subunit ribosomal RNA", at positions 524 to 776 of the family's 1533-position model. The record is from RNAcentral.
UACGUAGGCAGCAAGCGUUGUUCGGAGUUACUGGGCGUAAAGGGUGUGUAGGCGGUUGGAUAAGUGUGGUGUGAAAUCUCCCGGCUCAACUGGGAGGGUGCGCUACAAACUGUCUGACUAGAGUGCGGGAUGGGAAAGUGGAAUUCCUGGUGUAGCGGUGAAAUGCGUAGAUAUCAGGAGGAACACCGGUGGUGUAGACGGCUUUCUGGACCGUAACUGACGCUGAUACACGAAAGCGUGGGUAGCAAACAGG